Long non-coding RNA from Sciurus carolinensis (gray squirrel), 2633 nucleotides. RefSeq lists it as uncharacterized. The record is from RefSeq and is a predicted model, not a curated record. The transcript has 12 exons. Lineage: Eukaryota; Metazoa; Chordata; Mammalia; Rodentia; Sciuridae.
UGGAGAAGCUGUGGGUUUCUGGCAUCAACUCUGCGGCUGGAGGCAUGGCAGGUUUUCUGCCCAAUAUCCACUGCUUCUAAGGCCUGCUGCUGCCACCCAGGUAUCUCUUGCUGUCUCCACACUGUCUUGGGACGGCCGGCUCUAAGAAUUCUCGCUAUGGACUCGAUUCAGCCAGGAGACAGAUGAUGCCUAAUGCUGUCAGAAACCUUGAUGCUGGUGAAGAGAUACAUUGAGCCUUUCCUGGUCCAGUGAGGGACCAGUGAAUUGGGAGGGGCUCAAAUCACCAUGCUGCACAUGGUUAUCAAACUAUUGUGACAUUUUGGUUCUUGCUAAGUUGCUGAGUCUUAACGAAGUUGCUCAGGCUGGCUUUGAACUUGAGAUCCUCCUGCUUCAACCUCCAGGGUUGCUGGACUUACAGGUGUGACCACCACAUGUUGCUCUGUCUGAUACUUAUACUAGCCUUCCUGCACAGCAUAUUCACCAGAGUGCCAGGAUGAAUCACUAUUGCUGAGGAUGUCCUUGUGAGGCAGUUGGGAAGCCUUGGCUGGAUUGUGAAGGAUAUCUUUGAACAGUGUUUUAGAGUCCACCAGAUGUUCCAUGUGAGUGGCCACACAGCAGAAGAGGAGGGGGGGUCACAGUGAUUAAGGUAACACAGUAAAAAAGGAUUUGGAGGAAUUAAUCCUUCCAUUGCUAUCUCAAAAGGUGAUCUGGACAAAGGAACGGAUAUCUCUCAAUCAGGGGAAUUUUAUCACUGAAGUUUUGGAGCCAAGUGACCCAACUCACACUGGUUGUCCCUUUCACAAAUAAUGGUGCAGUGAAAACACGAUCCGAGUGUCCUUGUGCCACCAACAUGGCAUAUUAGUUAGCUUUGUUACUAUAACAAAUUACCUAAGACCCUACUAGAAUUCACCAGUAAAGCUAUUUCUUUGGGCUUUUUGUGUUCAGAGGGUCACACUAAGGCGCCAAGGAUGGUCUUGAACUUGUGAUCUUCUGACUCAACUUCCAGCUUCUCUGGGAUUACAGUACCAGGAACCCUCCCUGAGAAUUCAGGAUGCCAUAUUUAAGGCUGCCAACGAGCUGGGGCAUGGAAGGAGGGGAAUAAUGAAGAACAAACCACCACUUCCCUCAAAGGUUGAAGGAUCUGAUCUUGACCCUGAAGAACCCAAAUUGAGGAAUCUGCACCCAUGAAGAAGCCCCCUAAAGAGCAAAGUUGAAGAAAUUAUAUUAUAACUACCGAUGAGUUCAAUGGUAUUCCUGCCUUACAUGAAAUCCCAUUUGAUUGUACAUCAACCAAAAAACUAUGAGUUCUGAAAAAAAUCAUAGAUUUAUUAAUGAAGAAACAGUGAAUACUUAAGAUCAUUAUUUUAUAGUGGGAGCUGACAUAAAGGAAUUCACGACUUUGGAAGCUGACAAGAGGUUUCUUGUUUGUUAUUUCCGCAAUCCCACAGUGCUGGGGUCUCGAACCCGGGCCUUGAGCAUAUGAGGCAGGCACUCUACAAGUUGGGCUAUAUGGCCUGCAAGAGGUUUCUUGUUAUCUGAAUAUUUUUAACACAGCUGAAGGCUGUCAGAAGAUGGAGGGGGAGGACUCAUCAUUCAUUAUGUCAGAACCUGAGGCCUUUGUGAACUUUGGAACUAAAUGAUAAUAGGGUAUAGAGUCCUAUAAUUUUCUUAGGUUUCUUUAACUUUUCAUUUGCUAGUCCUUUUCAUUUUUCAUUUUGUAGUUCUGUUUUUUGUAGAAAUAAACAUGUAUUUUCAAAAUCAGUGCCUUUAGGUAAAUAUUUAUCUACCUGCUAUAUAAGCCUCUAUACUGUUUAUAUUAUGUAACUACAAAAUGCUCAUGUCUACUUUUGUACUUAGUGGACAAUGCUACAGACCCCAAUCAAAUGGGUACAGAUGUGAUGUUGGAAGAAAAAGUUCAAGAAGAUAAGGUCAAGUAUACCCAAACCCUUUGGAAUGCAAGAUUAUUAGCAUCUAAAUUCAUCCAAGGCAUUUCAGUUUAAAGGUAGGCUUCCUCCAAGUGCAUUUGGAGGUGGCAUCUCUGAUUAUUAUGCUUUCCCAUAUGUCAUUAGGAAGCAGCCCCCCUGAAAUCAAUCAAUCUAUCUAUCUGUCUUCUAUCCUCAGUUCUUUGUUUGGAGCUCCUAAAACCCUUGUUAUGUCCUGUAUGAUAGACGUGCAUCUUUGUCCUAUCUUCUUACACAGAGCCCUCAAAUACUGCGAAUUUCCUGGUGAUAGGAGCAACUUUUGAGCCUCUAAUGAGUGAUUCUUGGUGGACUCUUGAACAGGUUCAGAAUGGGGUUUGAUCACAAAGACAAAACCAUGAGUAGAUGUUUCCUUCCAAGUUUUAGCUGUCCCCCCACCGGCCUACUGUCCCAAGAAGUGGAGAGGAGCUGGAGAUUGAGUUAGUAAUUGAUGAUGUCAAGAUGAUGCCACCAUAAAAAUCCCUAAACUAUGGAAUUUGGAGAGCUUCAUGGUUGGAAAAAACAUUGUGAUGUGCCAAGAAGAUGGUGCACCCCACCUGGACAAGGACAGAAUCUCCUGUGCUUGGAACCCUUAUGAAAUUCACGCUGUGCACCUCUUCAUCUGGCUAUUAUUUCUGUAUCUGUUAUAUAAUACCCUUUAUAAUAAACUAGUAA